UGUACGUCUCUGUGCUGAGAAACGAGUACAUCUCCAUAGCGUUCGACUACUUCUCUGAUCCUACGGUAGAGCUUGCCACGUUCAUUGCAGGCAAUGGCGUUGAUGGAGUCAUCACGGAGUUCCCUGCCACCGCCACCAGAUACUUGAGUAAGUUCUAAACCUCUACAAAGAUCAUGAAACAACAAUCAAGACAAGGCUGGUAAUAUAUAUAUAUUUGAUGCAAAUGCAGGGAGUCCAUGCUCAGAUUUGAACAAAGACCAGCCCUACGCCAUCUUACCUGCAGAGGCUGGAGCUCUACUCUCCGUGGCAGCCAAGGAAGCACAGCCACCAGCUAUUGCCCCAAGCCCGCCUCUUGACGCUAAGGACGUGAUUGAUCCGCCUCUACCUCCUGUUGCAAACAUUGGUUCCUCUGAUGGAGAAGCUCCGCCACAUGCCCCUCCUCAUUCAGGCACCAUUGCCACAUCUGCUAAUCUUGGCCUUUCUUUGCUGGCAAUACUGGCCUUGGGAGUCCUCUUUGCUGUUGAAUAAAAGAUUGAUCAGACAAUAUAACUCCAAAUGUUGAACAUGUUAUCCUGCAGCGUAUUCCAAACUGACGCAAUUUGAGCUAUUUAUGUUUUACUCACGUUAACGAAAAUAGAUCAAAAAGAAUCUUUGUGUAUUGUGGUCAUGGGAAUGUUUAAUUUCAGUAGAGAUUUUGAAUCUUGAUAAUCGCUCAUAAUCUGUUUGCGAA
Molecule: long non-coding RNA, 730 nt
Filed under: Brassica rapa (field mustard)
Lineage: Eukaryota; Viridiplantae; Streptophyta; Magnoliopsida; Brassicales; Brassicaceae
Description: long non-coding RNA (BRAP_LNC000882)
Source: RNAcentral